Balaenoptera ricei (Rice's whale) is the source of this 238-nucleotide long non-coding RNA. RefSeq lists it as uncharacterized. The transcript is spliced from 3 exons. NCBI's taxonomy places the organism in Eukaryota, Metazoa, Chordata, Mammalia, Artiodactyla, Balaenopteridae. The record is from RefSeq and is a predicted model, not a curated record.
UACCCAGAACUCUGACCUGGAAGAACGAGGCUGUUGAGCACAGGACAGAUCAGUGUGGGUGUUCAGGACGAAGACAGGAACUUUGCAGGACCCAUAGUCGCAUUGGAGCAGCAACUCCUCGCCAGAGUUGAGGCACUUCAUCUCUCAUUGCUGAUCCCGUCUUCACAGCAUCAUACUGAUGACCAUUCAUGGCUUAAAGAUCGUAUUUGCUCAUUUUUAAAACUGUGGUUUGGACACC